UAUAAAUUUUUAAAAAACUAAAGAGAUUUUUUAAGUAAAGUUGGUUUCCUAUUUAAAAUUAAAGAAUAAAAAAUACAAGUGGAACAAAAUAGCACAAAGAGGCAAGAACCAAUUAACAAAUCAUGCGCAGUGUGCGCGAAUGGGCCGGUCCACCCCGCGGUACAUGUCAGCGCCUUUCACCCCUCCAAAAAAAAAACAGCGCCCUUUCCCUUUCACCGCUAUCUCGCCAUCGCUCCCCGCACCCGGCGAGUUGCAACUCCACCAUUCUCACCGGAAGACGGAAGUGCCUGUGCCUCCUCCUCCUAGCACGCUGCCGUGCUCGCUCCGUUCCACGCGCACGCUGGCAUCUAUUCCUCUGACGCAAUGCCGGCCUUUUCUGCCCAGCGCCGGCCGCCUCGGCAGCAGCGCGCCCAGGCCGUUCGGCGGAAUGCCGACCCCGGUGUCUUUUCUUGGACCGCGACAGUUGCCGUCGAGAAGCCGGAUAGGCUCGUAGACCACGCUCGGAAGCAUUCUGAUGCGUAUGUGUAUACGCCGAAGUGGCGAGCUACGGUUUGCGGCCCGUGGUUUCUUGGCCACGUGCCCACGUGAAUCCUUCGGCAUGGAAAAGGCAUCUUUUGAAAAAGAAACAGUUGGUGAAGAUUUGCAGAAUAUACAGCUGACGAGAUAGUACACGGGCGAUCAUUUCUGUAAGGCGAUUGCAAUCGAGAGCGAUCAUCGGCGUCUCAAUCAGGGUGUGGACAAGACCAUUUGAGUGGAGGACAAGAAGAAGUGCAAUUUUGUUCCUUAAUGGACGGGGUGGAUGGUUGACCUGCUGGGUGAUCACAUGUUCUCUCUUCCAUCCUCUUGAUUUACUCGCCCUUAUCACCUUAUCACGCGAGCUUUGCCUGAUGGUUACGUUUGCUGUUGUUUUCCAUUCCCCACUGGCGCACUGUUGUGCACCAUGGAAUGUGUCUGUCGUCUUAAUUCGGAACUUGGUAGCGUGUGAGCUCUGGCACUGGCACUGGCAGGCCGGCUGGUUGAUCGCUUUCCUCUGAUGCUGAUCAGCUUGUGGUUGUGGGAACGCCUGUGCUGUGUGGACAUGGUCCUUUGGAACCUAACCAUGCAUUAGGUAUAGUUUAAAUACUUUAUUAGUUGAAUAAUUAGUGUUCAGAAUCACAUUUCUUUUGGGAACACUGUGCCAUUAUUAUUUUGUAUAGUAGAUGAUAAUGAUGUGCUGAUGUAGUGAUGUUAGCUACAAUGCAUCAUUGUUAUUAUUUUAGAUGCUGCACUCUAUCAUUGAGCAGUGUACAGAUUGUCAAUGAUUUUUCCUCUCUGAUUGAGAAAAAUAUAUGGCAAGUGGCUGACACUCUACAUA
This is a long non-coding RNA of Triticum aestivum (bread wheat), 1354 nucleotides long. RefSeq lists it as uncharacterized. Lineage: Eukaryota; Viridiplantae; Streptophyta; Magnoliopsida; Poales; Poaceae. The transcript has 2 exons. The record is from RefSeq and is a predicted model, not a curated record.